This 100-nucleotide ribosomal RNA is filed under the name uncultured bacterium. RNAcentral describes it as "partial 16S ribosomal RNA". It matches the Rfam family "Bacterial small subunit ribosomal RNA", at positions 354 to 451 of the family's 1533-position model. The record is from RNAcentral.
UAGGGGAAUUUUCGUUCAAUGGGGGCAACCCGUGAACGAGCAAUGCCGCGUGAGCGAAGAAGGUCUUCGGAUUGUAAAGCUCUGUUGCCGGGGAAAAAGG